CAACUAUCCACAAAAGACCAAAAUGACACAAACAUUAACAACUAUAGGUCACCGUACGGCCUUCAACAAUGAGCAAAGCCCAUACCGCAUAAUCAGCUAUAAUAGGCCCGAUAGGACAAUGUAAAACAAUUCAAACGAGAAAACUAACGGCCUUAUUUAUGUAAAACAAUGAACAACGAAAAACAAAUAUGUAACACAUAAACAAACG
Molecule: long non-coding RNA, 208 nt
Filed under: Mytilus galloprovincialis (Mediterranean mussel)
Lineage: Eukaryota; Metazoa; Mollusca; Bivalvia; Mytilida; Mytilidae
Source: RNAcentral